AACGACUUUACCUGAUUGAUCAGGUAAAAUUUGUAACAAGCAGAAAUCUGAACUGGCAACCAAAAUCCAAAACUCUAUUCAAGAUGUUCUCCCAUCUGCAAGGCAUCUUUAUUCCCACUUGCCAUCCAGUUAUUCAGACCAGCUGGGAAGUCCAUUCAACCUUGGACUAAUUUAACCCCAGACCCCUGCAGGGUUUUGUUUAUUUUUAAAUGUUAUCAAAGUGUAACAUUAAAAAAAAAAAAGGUAAGAGCAUAAAAAUCGUAGUCAGCUGUUUUAAUUUUCACAAAGUGAGCCCAGGCCUGUAAACUACCUCCAAAUCCAGAAACACAACACAGUUAGCACCCAGAAGCCCCUGCAAAUCCUUUCAGCAACUUCCUCCUCAGGUAUAACCAUGACCCUGACCAACUUCUAACCAUGACAACCUGUUUUGCCUGUUUUGGGCCUUACAUAAAAAAUGGAAUCACACACACAGUAUACUCUUUUAUGCUAUUUUUGGCAUUCAACAUCAUCUGUGUAAUUUAUAAUUGGAGUUUAUUGACUUUCAUUGUGGUAAAAUAUCCCGUUGUUUAAAUACACAUGAUUUGUCAAUCCAUUCUAUCAAAAGGGGCAUUUGGGUUGGUCUGGUGGGUAAUCACAUGCAUAGUGUUGCCCUGAACAUUAUUACACAAGCCAGGUCCUGUUUUCAAAGUCUGAUACAAAACCACCUACCGUUGCUGCGGCCCUCUUUACCAAGAUGUUUCACUCCCAAGAUUUCACAGUUUUGGGACCCCACUUAACUUCCUCCCAUAAUGAUUUAUGUUAUAUUUUUUAAUACAAAUUACCCUGGCUGAAGAGCAUGUUAAUAUCAUCAGCAUUUACUCAUCUAUGUGUGCCCACAGAGCUUUGUCUAGUGCCCUGCACAAAGCAAGUGUUCAACAUUUUCUCAGUUAAAUGGAAUUGUUUGAGAAUGAGCCCUACAUACCCAUCAUCUCCCCUAGUCCCACUUCUCCAUCUUCUCCAAACAAAAUAUCAUCUCUCCCUGAAACAUCCAUUACAGCAAUGGUGCUCAAUUAUUUUGUUUUUAUAUCUCCAAUGUAAAUAAAUGGAAAACUCUAUUCCCAUGCACAAAUUUUUAAAUUUGUAUAUUUAUCACUAUUUUAAAUAAAUAGAGUGAAAUUUCUGCCAUAUUGGAAAUUGUUUAAUACUGCAAAUAUUUUUUAAAAAGUUGAAACUGCAAAUUUGGCUCAUAGAAGUUAUGGACAGUAUUCACCAUAUUACAUAAUUGGCAAAGCAGUCUUCAUUGACAAGUUAAUUAACAUUCAGAUAUGACUUCCCACUAUUUUAAAAAAUUAUUUCAAAUAAACAUGUUAUGGCAAACUUUACUUGUAAAUCAUAAUUCUGAGCCACAUAACUGUAUGGGUUGGUGGAUGAUGGAUGGGUAGAUGGGUUAGAUGGGUGAAUAGAUAGAUGGAUGAAUGAAUGGAUGGACAGGUAGGUGAAUGGGGGAAUUGGU
Molecule: long non-coding RNA, 1492 nt
Filed under: Marmota monax (woodchuck)
Lineage: Eukaryota; Metazoa; Chordata; Mammalia; Rodentia; Sciuridae
Source: RNAcentral